UCAUCACUCUCAGUACCACAUGUCUCAUAUCUAUUUUAGCUGGAUAGCUAAGUUACAUUAUAGUAUAACAUAAUUACAUGACACUCAGAGUGAAGCGAUAAUAUAAUCUAAGUUACAUUACUUGCAUCAACUUAAAAGUUGUACGCAGAAACUCAGGUACAGUUGUAUUGAAUACUAUUUUUUAAUCAUUGGACUCCACUUUGAGUGUCAUGUAAUUACGGUAUAAUGUAACUUAGCUACACUCACCAAGUUGAGUGUAACUUAAUUACACGACACUCAAACAACCUAAUCGUUAUUGUCCAAAAUCCUCCCUUGAUAUGAUUUACGUACGUGGUGGUCAUACAAUAAUUAUUACUUCAUUAAUUCCUGUCCAAUAUCUUCACUUGAUACGGUUUAUUUGGUAAGUGAUACACCACUUAUGAUUUUGUCCAGUAUCUUAAAAUAACGGUCCAUGACAUCAUUCCAUGCUCAAAUAACAUUUAUAGAAUUGAGAAAUUAUAGAAUACCUCUGAGAUACCAUGUCAGCUAUACAAAAAAUAAAUGAUAUUAUAAGAUGUGUGCAAUUAUCUUGAAAAACCAGCAUGUAAAUAGUAGUUAUAUAAAAUCAACUACAAGUUAUACAUUCAUUAAUUAAUUAUAUCACCUCUAAUAUAUUCUAAAAUUCUUUAUAUAAUUUAUAUCAACCACAUGAAGUGAUUUCAUCUUGAUGUUGUAGGCACAUUUAUAAGACCAAUAACAUUUAAACAUUCGUGAAUAUACACAACAAAUAUCAUCGAUUAGUUCAUUUGUUUUAUAUCUUGGAAAUAUUGAAUUUGGUAAGCGUUGGGUUGCGCUUCAAGUUCCAAUAAAAACAAUAUUUGAUUCCCUUAAUUUAUUUCAUUAAUCUUCACGUCUCAAGUAACUCUAUUGUUUUGUUUUCCAAAAUUUCCUCAUCACUUUUUUUUUAAAAAAAUAAUCCUUAUGCAAGUUCUUUAGUGUUCUCCAAUCCCAAAUUUUCAACCAUAAAUUUGAAUUUUUAAACUUAAUUUGACAAAUUGCAUGUUAAUGUUGUUUUAUUUAAUUAAGAUUAAAGACAAAUAUAAAAUCAUUGAUUAAAUUAGUGUUGCAUUGUUUACCUAUUGGUGAGCGGUAUAUAUUACAACAUUAAAUCAAUAAUCACUACAACAAAAAAGCGCUUUAGCGAUGAACAGUUUCGUCGUUAAAACAUGCAAUUUUUGUCACUAAAGGCUAUAACAACGAAAAACAUUUUGUAACCAUUUCAUCAUCAUAGGAUCGUGGCGUUAGGUCUUUGGUGUCGAAUUUUUAAAUUUCGUCACUAAAGUACUUUUAGCAAUGAAUCUUGCUUUGUCACCAAAAGAACUUUUAGUAACGAAUACUUUUGGAAUGCUAAAAGUACGCAUUUAUCAACGAAUAAUAAUCUCGUGGCUAAAAGUACUUUUAUCGACGAAAACUAUUUUGUCGCUAAAAGGUAUCAUUUUUCUUUCAUUUAUUUAUUGUUACUAUUCUAAAAAUAUUAUUAUUUUUAAUAUAA
Molecule: long non-coding RNA, 1531 nt
Filed under: Citrus x clementina
Lineage: Eukaryota; Viridiplantae; Streptophyta; Magnoliopsida; Sapindales; Rutaceae
Description: Citrus clementina (C. clementina) long non-coding RNA (CCLE_LNC004450)
Source: RNAcentral